RNAcentral lists this unclassified non-coding RNA (346 nucleotides) under soil metagenome. RNAcentral describes it as "partial contains 5.8S ribosomal RNA, internal transcribed spacer 2, and large subunit ribosomal RNA". The stretch from base 1 to 120 matches the Rfam family "5.8S ribosomal RNA", at positions 35 to 154 of the family's 154-position model. The record is from RNAcentral.
GAUGAAGAACGUAGCGAAAUGCGAUACGUAAUGUGAAUUGCAGAAUUCAGUGAAUCAUCGAGUCUUUGAACGCACAUUGCGCCCCCUGGUAUUCCGGGGGGCAUGCCUGUCCGAGCGUCAUUGCUGCCCUCAAGCCCGGCUUGUGUGUUGGGUCUCGUCCCCCUUCCCGGGGGGACGGGCCCGAAAGGCAGCGGCGGCACCGUGUCCGGUCCUCGAGCGUAUGGGGCUUUGUCACCCGCUCUGUAGGCCCGGCCGGCGCUUGCCGAUCAACCAAAACUUUUUUCCAGGUUGACCUCGGAUCAGGUAGGGAUACCCGCUGAACUUAAGCAUAUCAAUAAGCGGAGGA